CUUCAGCAGUUGGACCGCUACGCCUCCGCCUCCCUCCGGCCCCGGGACCUGCGCAAGCGCGACGCGCCCCCUCCCGUCCCGCCCCUUUCUUUCUGCCGCGCGGCCCCAUGGGAAUUGUAGUUCUCUGCUGCAGAGUCAACCUGAGCUCCGCCCUGACCCCGCGCCAUGAGGGACGGAGGAACUACUAAUCCUAGCAUGCAUAGCGCGGCCACGGACCCACUUUUUUUUUUUUUUUUUUUUUUCAGUACCGGGAAAACAGGAGCGUGUGAUUGGGGUUUACAGUGUUUUCUCUCGCUCUCUCUGUUUCUAGGGAAUUCGGGCUGUGUUUAGCUGCUGGAAUAUCGUAGAAUUGGUUUUCAGAGAAGUUCCUCGACUCCUGAGGCGAAACAUAAAGGGAUGGGAGUGGUGUGGGAAGUGAUCGUGUGGGGAAAAAAAAGUUUCGAGCCCGUUUCGCAUUUGUGGAGACAGAGUUUUUGGUGUGACCACUCUUUUGUGGGAAACCCAAACCAAGGAGAACUCAGGAGAAUUGGCGCUCUUCGGUCCUGGAGGUUCCGCAGCUAACAUCCCGGCUUGACCAACUAUCGAGGCCGCAAAUUAAUAGGGCACCUCCUGGGAGGAAAACGCCCAUCCUGACUUCUCAACUGUGACAGGUCCCCCUCACAAACGCCUUGCGGGGGGGUGGGGGGGCGUUUCUAAACACUUGCAUGUUCUUACAAGGGAAAUGUUUUUAUUCUUGGGCGCACCAAGUUGGCCGCCUCCUGAGGUGGAGUACGGACCAGUUGACAACAGGGCUCCUUUUCACCUCCACGCCCAACCUUUUCCAUUUCUCCUCAAACGGUUUUGGAGAAGGGCGGAGUCAUAUCAUUUUAAAGGAAACUUGGAACCUCACCAAUACAAACGCUGGUCGAAUGUUCCCAGAAACUUCCCUGCAUUAGCUCUACCGGGCGCGGGGAGCAGAAAGCGCAUUUCCUGAGUCCUGAAAAGCGCGUGCGCGCCUGUGUGCUGCCGGCGUUUGGGCGCGCCUGCUUUUUGCUCUGUCGCCCAGGAUGGAGUGCAGUGCAGUGGCGCGAUCCUGCAACCUCCGCCUCUCGAGUUCAAGCGAUUCUCCUGCCUCAGCCUCCCGAGUAGCUGGGAUUACAGACGCGCGCCACCCCACCCAGAUGAUCUUUUUAAAUGCAAAAUGCCAUCGACGCAGAAAAUCAAAGAAUCAGCUUAAGUUCCAGAAAAAAGAAAAACCAACCAAAUGAACAAUAAGACAACAACAACAACAACAAAAAAGGCCUUUUGGGAUUUUGGAUGAUAUUGCAUCAAAUCCAUACAUUAACCUGAGAGACGAGCGACUUCUUCAACAUUGAGCCUUCCAAUCAUGAUUUUCAAUUCAUUUAGGUCUUCUGUAAUGUUUCUUAAUAUAAUUGUAUUUGUUGCUAUGCAGAAGUUUCACUGAUCUUUUAUUAUAUCUCUAUAUAUAUUUGAUAUUUCUGACACUAUUGUAAAUAGUAUCUUUUUAAUAUUUCAUUUUCCUUUUUUGUUGCUUAAAUAUAUAUAAAAUAAGCUAAUUUUCCAAACUAAUUUUUAUAUCCAGCAACCCUGCUAAAAUUUCUUAUCCAA
RNAcentral lists this long non-coding RNA (1608 nucleotides) under Homo sapiens (human). RNAcentral describes it as "HSALNT0323493". Lineage: Eukaryota; Metazoa; Chordata; Mammalia; Primates; Hominidae. The record is from RNAcentral.